Molecule: ribosomal RNA, 845 nt
Filed under: Pseudomonas sp. B16(2013)
Lineage: Bacteria; Pseudomonadati; Pseudomonadota; Gammaproteobacteria; Pseudomonadales; Pseudomonadaceae
Description: bacterial SSU rRNA
Rfam family: Bacterial small subunit ribosomal RNA
Source: RNAcentral
CGGCGGACGGGUGAGUAAUGCCUAGGAAUCUGCCUGGUAGUGGGGGACAACGUUUCGAAAGGAACGCUAAUACCGCAUACGUCCUACGGGAGAAAGCAGGGGACCUUCGGGCCUUGCGCUAUCAGAUGAGCCUAGGUCGGAUUAGCUAGUUGGUGAGGUAAUGGCUCACCAAGGCGACGAUCCGUAACUGGUCUGAGAGGAUGAUCAGUCACACUGGAACUGAGACACGGUCCAGACUCCUACGGGAGGCAGCAGUGGGGAAUAUUGGACAAUGGGCGAAAGCCUGAUCCAGCCAUGCCGCGUGUGUGAAGAAGGUCUUCGGAUUGUAAAGCACUUUAAGUUGGGAGGAAGGGUUGUAGAUUAAUACUCUGCAAUUUUGACGUUACCGACAGAAUAAGCACCGGCUAACUCUGUGCCAGCAGCCGCGGUAAUACAGAGGGUGCAAGCGUUAAUCGGAAUUACUGGGCGUAAAGCGCGCGUAGGUGGUUUGUUAAGUUGGAUGUGAAAUCCCCGGGCUCAACCUGGGAACUGCAUUCAAAACUGACAAGCUAGAGUAUGGUAGAGGGUGGUGGAAUUUCCUGUGUAGCGGUGAAAUGCGUAGAUAUAGGAAGGAACACCAGUGGCGAAGGCGACCACCUGGACUGAUACUGACACUGAGGUGCGAAAGCGUGGGGAGCAAACAGGAUUAGAUACCCUGGUAGUCCACGCCGUAAACGAUGUCAACUAGCCGUUGGGAGCCUUGAGCUCUUAGUGGCGCAGCUAACGCAUUAAGUUGACCGCCUGGGGAGUACGGCCGCAAGGUUAAAACUCAAAUGAAUUGACGGGGGCCCGCACAAGCGGUGGAG